GGCAUAAGGGAGCUUGACUGCGAGACCUACAAGUCGAGCAGGGUCGAAAGACGGACUUAGUGAUCCGGUGGUUCCGCAUGGAAGGGCCAUCGCUCAACGGAUAAAAGCUACCCCGGGGAUAACAGGCUUAUCUCCCCCAAGAGUUCACAUCGACGGGGAGGUUUGGCACCUCGAUGUCGGCUCAUCGCAUCCUGGGGCUGUAGUCGGUCCCAAGGGUUGGGCUGUUCGCCCAUUAAAGCGGUACGCGAGCUGGGUUCAGAACGUCGUGAGACAGUUCGGUCCCUAUCCGUCGUGGGCGUAGGAAAUUUGAGAGGAGCUGUCCUUAGUACGAGAGGACCGGGAUGGACAUACCUCUGGUGUACCAGUUGUCGUGCCAACGGCAUAGCUGGGUAGCUAUGUGUGGACGGGAUAAGUGCUGAAAG
Molecule: ribosomal RNA, 422 nt
Filed under: Staphylococcus aureus
Lineage: Bacteria; Bacillati; Bacillota; Bacilli; Caryophanales; Staphylococcaceae
Description: partial 23S ribosomal RNA
Rfam family: Bacterial large subunit ribosomal RNA
Source: RNAcentral